AACUCACUGCAACUCAAUAUUUAUUUCUUCUUAGCCUUGUGUUUGGCACCAAAGAUAAAAGAGUUACAGACCAAUUCCCUUCAAUGAGCAUAUAAUCUAACUGGAAAAAGAAUUAGUGUGAGGAAAUAAUCCAACGAUGCUAAACAGACAUGGAGAUGAAGGAACAGGCUGUGGUCCGUGGAUCUGAGUUUCAAAAAUGAUGGUUCUGAGAGUGAUGGAGAAACUGCAGAGGAGGCAGGAGAAGGAAUACUGCCAAAUGCGUUUUUCCUCUGGUUGGGAAAACAAAAUCUUCUCUACAUACUGUGUGACAAGUCUGUGACAUGUGGCUGCUUCUAGGAAUGAGAAAAACUAGAAAGGAGAUAACAGGAUUUCAGGAUCCUGAUCUGCCACCUGAAGUUGAGUGUGUCACCACUGGAGCAUAACCAAUAUCUUCUUAAUAGGAAAGGAAGGAAAAUAAAUACCAA
Molecule: long non-coding RNA, 464 nt
Filed under: Chinchilla lanigera (long-tailed chinchilla)
Lineage: Eukaryota; Metazoa; Chordata; Mammalia; Rodentia; Chinchillidae
Description: lncRNA (ENSCLAG00000026061.1)
Source: RNAcentral